UCUAUUUAUGAUAGCCUUAGCGGUUGUGUUAGAGGCUGGAUCACUGACAAUCCAGCUAAACUUAAAAGUGUGCGGACUUCGAGAAGCACGGAGGAGAGGCGCGCACGCGCGCACGCACACACCUUUCCUUCUCUGCCUCGUCAGGCCCCUGUGGGAGCCGCGCGAACCCUCCGAGGGCGCGGCCGGGAGUCCUCGGUUGGAGACGCGGACACUUCUGGCCUUCGGCGGCCGCCGUCGUUCCCAGGAUCUCGCGAGAGCGCGGAGCCGCCGCGCGCGUUGAUGACGUUUGGCGAGCGCCCUGGUCGCUUUCGGAGAUCAGUCCUUCAGGUUUUGAAUCUCCAUCCAUAAGAGGAUCACUGGGAGGAAGGAAGAAGAGGUGCCUGGUUUGGGGACUAUUUUGACAGAAGUCUGAACAAAAUUGGUGCUGAUCCAGUAAACACAGAGACAGAGCAUCUCUGCUUCUGGCAGUGUCCUAAGGAACAAAGAAAAUGAUCAAUGCUCAGAACUCAGUGACACCCAGCGAUGUGGCUAUAAAGUUCACCUGGGAGGAGUGGCAGCUUCUGGACCCUGCUCAGAAGACCCUCUAUCAGGAUGUGAUGUUGGAGACCUACCGCCACCUGGUUUCCAUCGGUUAUGAAGUUAGCAAACCUGAUGCGUUCUCUUGGAUGGAACGAGGAGAACCACCAGGAUUCGUAUUAGAAAAAAGCUGUGGUGGGAUGUGUUCAGAAAUCUGGAAAGGCCAUGGCCAUUCCCGUGGAUGCACACAGCAAGAAAGAAGAGUGGACGGAAUGGAACAGUGCUGCGAAUAUGAGGCCUUGGAAAGGGAUCAUC
This is a long non-coding RNA of Echinops telfairi (small Madagascar hedgehog), 831 nucleotides long. RefSeq lists it as uncharacterized. Lineage: Eukaryota; Metazoa; Chordata; Mammalia; Afrosoricida; Tenrecidae. The transcript has 5 exons. The record is from RefSeq and is a predicted model, not a curated record.